AGGAGGAACAGCCCCAGUGUCGGGGCAGCUCUGGAAACCUGGAUUCAGCUCCGGCAGGAACUCCGUCUGCAGGGCCUGGAGGCUCCGGGGCGGG
Non-coding RNA from Canis lupus familiaris (dog), 94 nucleotides. Lineage: Eukaryota; Metazoa; Chordata; Mammalia; Carnivora; Canidae. The record is from Rfam.